Molecule: ribosomal RNA, 503 nt
Filed under: uncultured bacterium
Lineage: Bacteria
Description: bacterial SSU rRNA
Rfam family: Bacterial small subunit ribosomal RNA
Source: RNAcentral
AGAGUUUGAUCAUGGCUCAGAUUGAACGCUGGCGGCAUGCCUUACACAUGCAAGUCGAACGGUAACGGGCCUUCGGGUGCCGACGAGUGGCGAACGGGUGAGUAAUGCAUCGGAACGUACCUUUCAGUGGGGGAUAACGUAGCGAAAGUUACGCUAAUACCGCAUAUUCUGUGAGCAGGAAAGAGGGGGGAUCGCAAGACCUCUUGCUUUAGGAGCGGCCGAUGUCGGAUUAGCUAGUUGGUGAGGUAAAGGCUCACCAAGGCGACGAUCCGUAGCGGGUCUGAGAGGAUGAUCCGCCACACUGGGACUGAGACACGGCCCAGACUCCUACGGGAGGCAGCAGUGGGGAAUUUUGGACAAUGGGCGCAAGCCUGAUCCAGCCAUGCCGCGUGAGUGAAGAAGGCCUUCGGGUUGUAAAGCUCUUUCAGCCGGAAAGAAAACGCACGGGUUAAUAACCUGUGUGGAUGACGGUACCGGAAGAAGAAGCACCGGCUAACUACGUG